AAGUCGUAACAAGGUAACCGUAGGUGAACCUGCGGUUGGAUCAUUAUUGAUGCAACGGUCUUGGAGUCCUCUCUGGAGUUGAUUCCUCGACCUUACCCACCCCAUGUGCACUGUAAAUGUUUUUUGGGACAUGUUUGUAGGCUUCGGCCUCGUUGUCCCAGCAGUAUUAAACUCUAUUUAAUUUGUCUGAAAUGAACCAAAGAAUCGUAACAACUUUUGACAACGGAUCUCUUGGCUCUC
Molecule: unclassified non-coding RNA, 240 nt
Filed under: fungal sp.
Lineage: Eukaryota; Fungi
Description: partial internal transcribed spacer region
Rfam family: Eukaryotic small subunit ribosomal RNA (bases 1-46)
Source: RNAcentral